GUCGGGUUCGGGAUGAACUGAUUGAUCCGCUCCCCGAUCACCGCCCAGGUGCGCUUGCCGUCGCGCAGCAUCUGCACCCCACGCCGCUUGAAUUCCUU
This is a non-coding RNA of Mycobacterium gordonae, 98 nucleotides long. NCBI's taxonomy places the organism in Bacteria, Bacillati, Actinomycetota, Actinomycetes, Mycobacteriales, Mycobacteriaceae. The record is from Rfam.